Molecule: ribosomal RNA, 481 nt
Filed under: uncultured bacterium
Lineage: Bacteria
Description: bacterial SSU rRNA
Rfam family: Bacterial small subunit ribosomal RNA
Source: RNAcentral
GACGAACGCUGGCGGCGUGCUUAACACAUGCAAGUCGAACGGUAAGGCCCUUCGGGGUACACGAGUGGCGAACGGGUGAGUAACACGUGGGUGAUCUGCCCUGCACUCUGGGAUAAGCCUGGGAAACUGGGUCUAAUACCGGAUAUGAGCUCCUGUCGCAUGGCGGGGGUUGGAAAGGUUUACUGGUGCAGGAUGGGCCCGCGGCCUAUCAGCUUGUUGGUGGGGUAAUGGCCUACCAAGGCGACGACGGGUAGCCGGCCUGAGAGGGCGACCGGCCACACUGGGACUGAGACACGGCCCAGACUCCUACGGGAGGCAGCAGUGGGGAAUAUUGCACAAUGGGCGAAAGCCUGAUGCAGCGACGCCGCGUGAGGGAUGACGGCCUUCGGGUUGUAAACCUCUUUCAGCAGGGACGAAGCGAGAGUGACGGUACCUGCAGAAGAAGCACCGGCCAACUACGUGCCAGCCGCCGCCGUAACAC